UAUGAGAUUAUUUAACAUUUUGUUUUAUUUAGUUAUUGAUCUUAUUAAUCACACAACAUAGGGAAAUAAAUAUAUUUGGAUGAGUCCCAUGAACGAGCAUAGCUCAGCCGACAGGGACAUUACAAUAUGCAAAUAUCAGGGUUGGAACUCCAAAUAUCUGCUACAUUUCAUUGCUAGGAAGUGAAGAUGCAAUCUCUUCCUCCAUUUUCUGACCCAUAACUUGAAGCCCAACACCAUACUUACUCACCAAAUCCUCAAACUCCAACCCUUCAACAGGAUCAACACCAAAGAACCAUUCAACCCCACAACCACCAUCCCCAUC
This 322-nucleotide long non-coding RNA is filed under the name Medicago truncatula (barrel medic). RNAcentral's name for it is "lncRNA gene2405". The record is from RNAcentral. Lineage: Eukaryota; Viridiplantae; Streptophyta; Magnoliopsida; Fabales; Fabaceae.